CCGGUUGAUCCUGCCGGAGGUCACUGCUAUUGGGAUUCGACUAAGCCAUGCGAGUCGAGAGGGUUCGGCCCUCGGCGAACUGCUCAGUAACACGUGGAUAAUUUGCCCUUAGGUGGAGGAUAACCUCGGGAAACUGAGAAUAAUACUCCAUAGAUCUAGGAUGCUGGAAUGCACUUAGAUUAAAAGCUCCGGCGCCUAAGGAUAAGUCUGCGGACUAUCAGGUUGUAGUCAGGGUAAAGACCUGACUAGCCUACAACGGAUACGGGUUGUGAGAGCAAUAACCCGGAGACGAUAUCUGAGACACGAUAUCGGGCCCUACGGGGCGCAGCAGGCGCGAAACCUUCGCACUGUGCGAAAGCGCGAUGAGGGGAUCCCAAGUGCUUGCUCGUAAGAGUAAGCUGUUUUUAUGUCUAAAAAGCAUAGAGAGUAAGGGCUGGGUAAGACGGGUGCCAGCCGCCGCGGUAAUACCUGCAGCUCAAGUGGUGAUCAUUAUUAUUGGGCCUAAAACGUCCGUAGCCGGUUUGGUAAAUGCCUGGGUAAAUCGUGUAGCUUAACUAUACGAAUUCCGGGUAGACUGCCAAACUUGAGACCGGGAGAGGCUAGAGGUACUCCUGGGGUAGAGGUGAAAUUCUGUAAUCCUA
This 641-nucleotide ribosomal RNA is filed under the name uncultured archaeon. RNAcentral's name for it is "bacterial SSU rRNA". It matches the Rfam family "Archaeal small subunit ribosomal RNA", at positions 4 to 650 of the family's 1478-position model. The record is from RNAcentral.